GAGCUUGCCCGGUAGGGGUCAGUACUGCUAAUUCUUAACCCCCAUGGUUCAACUCCAUGGCCCGCUCA
Molecule: transfer RNA, 68 nt
Filed under: Phrynoderma karaavali
Lineage: Eukaryota; Metazoa; Chordata; Amphibia; Anura; Dicroglossidae
Description: tRNA-Ser
Source: RNAcentral